Molecule: ribosomal RNA, 468 nt
Filed under: uncultured bacterium
Lineage: Bacteria
Description: partial 16S ribosomal RNA
Rfam family: Bacterial small subunit ribosomal RNA
Source: RNAcentral
GACGAACGCUGGCGGCGUGCUUAACACAUGCAAGUCGAACGGAAAGGCCCUGCUUUUGUGGGGUGCUCGAGUGGCGAACGGGUGAGUAACACGUGAGUAACCUGCCCUUGACUUUGGGAUAACUUCAGGAAACUGGGGCUAAUACCGGAUAGGAGCUCCUGCUGCAUGGUGGGGGUUGGAAAGUUUCGGCGGUUGGGGAUGGACUCGCGGCUUAUCAGCUUGUUGGUGGGGUAGUGGCUUACCAAGGCUUUGACGGGUAGCCGGCCUGAGAGGGUGACCGGACACAUUGGGACUGGGAUACGGCCCAGACUCCUACGGGAGGCAGCAGUGGGGAAUAUUGCACAAUGGGCGGAAGCCUGAUGCAGCAACGCCGCGUGCGGGAUGACGGCCUUCGGGUUGUAAACCGCUUUCGCCUGUGACGAAGAGUGAGUGACGGUAAUGGGUAAAGAAGCACCGGCUAACUACGUG